AUACCAUGAUGAGGACACUUUCUGAUUAAGUCCUUGAACCCUCUCCCAAGACUCAUAGAGAGACUCAUUCUCUUGUUGACAGAAAUUGUUGAUCUCUCCUCGCGGCUU
Cannabis sativa is the source of this 108-nucleotide small nucleolar RNA. The record is from RefSeq and is a predicted model, not a curated record. NCBI's taxonomy places the organism in Eukaryota, Viridiplantae, Streptophyta, Magnoliopsida, Rosales, Cannabaceae.